UACGGGGGGAGCAAGCGUUGUUCGGAUUUACUGGGCGUAAGGGGCGCGUAGGCGGUCGUGACAAGUCACUUGCGAAAUCUCCGGGCUUAACUCGGAACGGUCAAGUGAUACUGUCGGACUAGAGUACAGAAGGGGCAACUGGAAUUCUCGGUGUAGCGGUGAAAUGCGUAGAUAUCGAGAGGAACACCUGCGGCGAAGGCGGGUUGCUGGGCUGAUACUGACGCUGAGGCGCGAAAGCCAGGGGAGCGAACGGG
RNAcentral lists this ribosomal RNA (254 nucleotides) under uncultured bacterium. Its description in RNAcentral is "partial 16S ribosomal RNA". It matches the Rfam family "Bacterial small subunit ribosomal RNA", at positions 524 to 776 of the family's 1533-position model. The record is from RNAcentral.